This 74-nucleotide transfer RNA is filed under the name Podarcis lilfordi (Lilford's wall lizard). RNAcentral describes it as "tRNA.Lys". It matches the Rfam family "tRNA". Rfam says of the family: Transfer RNA (tRNA) molecules are approximately 80 nucleotides in length. Their secondary structure includes four short double-helical elements and three loops (D, anti-codon, and T loops). The record is from RNAcentral. Lineage: Eukaryota; Metazoa; Chordata; Lepidosauria; Squamata; Lacertidae.
ACCUGGGAUAGCUCAGUUGGUAGAGCAUGAGACUCUUAAUCUCAGGGUUGUGGGUUCGAGCAGCACCUUGGGCA